AGGGCACCACCAGGAGUGGAGCCUGCGGCUUAAUUUGACUCAACACGGGAAAACUCACCCGGCCCGGACACCGUAAGGAUUGACAGAUUGAGAGCUCUUUCUUGAUUCGGUGGUUGGUGGUGCAUGGCCGUUCUUAGUUGGUGGAGCGAUUUGUCUGGUUUAUUCCGAUAACGAGCGAGACUCUAGCCUACUAAAUAGUGACCGGAUAGCUUGGUCCGGGUCACUUCUUAGAGGGACAAGCGGUGUUCAGCCGCAAUAAGUUGAGCAAUAACGGGUCUGUGAUGCCCUUAGAUGUCCGGGGCUGCACGCGCGCUACACUGGAGGAAUCAGCGUGCUUGACCCAUUGCCGAAAGGCAUUGGUAAACCCUUGAAAAUCCUCCGUGAUCGGGAUCGGGAAUUGCAAUUAUUUCCCUUGAACGAGGAAUUCCCAGUAAGUGUGAGUCAUCAGCUCACGUUGAUUACGUCCCUGCCCUUUGUACACACCGCCCGCCGCUGCCCGGGACUGAGCCGUUUCGAGAA
Molecule: ribosomal RNA, 519 nt
Filed under: uncultured eukaryote
Lineage: Eukaryota
Description: SSU rRNA
Rfam family: Eukaryotic small subunit ribosomal RNA
Source: RNAcentral